UGCAGAGAUCUACUUCAAAGGGGGUG
RNAcentral lists this non-coding RNA (26 nucleotides) under Mus musculus (house mouse). The record is from RNAcentral. Lineage: Eukaryota; Metazoa; Chordata; Mammalia; Rodentia; Muridae.